UGGGGUACUGUGUGUGCACAUAGACACAC
RNAcentral lists this non-coding RNA (29 nucleotides) under Homo sapiens (human). The record is from RNAcentral. Lineage: Eukaryota; Metazoa; Chordata; Mammalia; Primates; Hominidae.